CCGGUUGAUCCUGCCGGACCUGACUGCUAUCGGAUUGGUACUAAGCCAUGUGAGUCAUUGUAGCAAUACAAGGCAGACGGCUCAGUAACACGUAGUCAAUCUACCCUAUGGACGGGGAUAACCUCGGGAAUCUGAGGAUAAAACCCGAUAGAUCAUGAUACCUGGAACGGUUUAUGGUCCAAAUGAUUCGUCGCCGUAGGAUGGGACUGCGGCCUAUCAGCUUGUUGGUGAGGUAAUGGCCCACCAAGGCUAUUACAGGUACGGGCUCUGAGAGGAGAAGCCCGGAGAUGGGUACUGAGACACGGACCCAGGCCCUAUGGGGCGCAGCAGGCGAGAAACCUUUGCAAUGUGCGCAAGCACGACAAGGUUAAUCCGAGUGUUUCCUGCUAAAGGAAUCUUUUGUCAGUUCUAAAAAUACUAAUGAAUAAGGGGUGGGCAAGUUCUGGUGUCAGCCGCCGCGGUAAAACCAGCACCUCAAGUGGUCAGGAGGAUUAUUGGGCCUAAAGCAUCCGUAGCCUGUUCUAUAAGUUUCCGGUUAAAUCCAUUAGCUCAACUAAUGGGCCGCCGAAAAUACUGUGGAACUAGGGAGUGGGAGAGGUAGACGGUACUCGGUAGGAAGGGGUAAAAUCCUUUGAUCUAUUGAUGACCACCUGUGGCGAAGGCGGUCUACCAGAACACGUUCGACGGUGAGGGAUG
Molecule: ribosomal RNA, 696 nt
Filed under: uncultured archaeon
Lineage: Archaea
Description: bacterial SSU rRNA
Rfam family: Archaeal small subunit ribosomal RNA
Source: RNAcentral